AUGCAUCGGUCCUCGCAAGAGUCCGAUGUGUCGUCGAAGGUCGAAGGAGUGUAACUCCCGUCCAUAUGGGUGCAUCGGUCCUUGUAAGGGUCCGAUGUAUCGUCGACCAUCGAAGGAGUGUCAACUCCCGUCCGUGUAGAUGAGUCGGUCCUCGCAAGAGUCCGAUGGGUCACCGGCGGUAAAGUCGUCGGCUUGAGGUGGAUACCGAGUCCAAGUCGGUAUGUCGGGGCUUGGCCUUGGUAAGCGCCGAUCAUUAGUCAAAGAGUUAAAACUCCGAGAUUUCAAACCGAAUUCAUAUUCCGACUGAACAAUUACAAAGUUCACGGGUAAUACAACUUCAAGUUGUCGGCGUUCCAAGUUCGGGGAAUGGUUUUCCCCUCAAGGGUCUCCAGUCGGUAGACUCUCGGACCAUAAGUGUCUGCUACUUUGUAGGGUCCUUCCCAAUUUGGAGCCAACUUCCCUUGGUCCAAGGGCUUCGAGACUUCCACCUUCCUCAAGACCAAGUCGCCAGGCCUGAAGAGCUUCGGUCUGAC
This 533-nucleotide long non-coding RNA is filed under the name Elaeis guineensis (African oil palm). RNAcentral's name for it is "long non-coding RNA (EGUI_LNC067905)". The record is from RNAcentral. Lineage: Eukaryota; Viridiplantae; Streptophyta; Magnoliopsida; Arecales; Arecaceae.